AAUUGCUAGAUGGGGGAACUAACUAACAUGCCCCCUGCAAAUGUGCUGUUCCCCAGCUGUUACCUAAAAGCAAGUGCUGUGGGUAGAAUACACUGCUCCUGUUUUGAACCAGCUGUAAGGAGCAACACCAAAUCUGUUGCCCCGGAACCUGCCUUGUGUGUGCAGAAUGGAUAAGUACAUGCUAUAUUGCAUAUAAGGUAUUGCACUAUUCACCCACCAAAGAAUGAUAUGCAACAGUUGACGUGAUUGUCUGCUCAACUCCUUAGCCAAAGAAGGAAAAUGAACCACAGUUCUAUAGUCUUAAUAGACUUUUAAUGGAUUUAAGGGACUUCUACACCAACACCCCGUAAUGGGGAAUCCAAAAAAAGAAGAAACAUCCCUCAUGCAAAGAUUCCUUAGGCAAAGAGGAUCUGAAGAGCACAUGCUUCCACCUGCAAGGCUUUCAUACCAUGGAAGAGAGAACUCAAGCUCCUGAGACAAAGUCAGCUAUUUUUCUGAAAAGGACAUUGCACCUUCAUUGGUUAAAACCUAAGAAGCAUGUAUUUAUGCCCUAGUUUCUUCCUGCCCCAUCAACAUAUUAUUGUCAUAAUUCCCUCUGACUUCUGCAGCAGCCUUUAUUAGAAAAAAGCAAAGAUACCUGACAGCAGAUUUUAACUUUGUCAGUGAGGUCUCUGAACAGAGCUACUCUAACUGAAUGACCACAGAACUGAUGAAGAAGAGGAGCAGAGGCUGAGGUUGGAAGUCUCUUGAAAUGCAAUUGGCUGCCUCUGUUACUUAACUGUCAGGCCUGGAGUGGGAACAUCACUGGAUUUUGGCUGGUUCUGCUCUGUAAUAUAACUGGAGUGAAGAUCAAAUAUUACUUGCCUGUUAUCGAUGUCAAGGCAAAGUCUAAAAGUCUCUUUGUUAUAUCCAUAAAGGCAACAGCAAUGGGAUGUGUUUGUUCUAUAUUCAUUUAGCCUUGGCUUUGUCAUUUGUAUUGUCUUUUAAUGUCUUGAGAUAUAUGCUGGCUUACAAAUUAAAUCUUACACUAUA
Mauremys reevesii (Reeves's turtle) is the source of this 1032-nucleotide long non-coding RNA. RefSeq lists it as uncharacterized. Lineage: Eukaryota; Metazoa; Chordata; Testudines; Geoemydidae. The transcript is spliced from 2 exons. The record is from RefSeq and is a predicted model, not a curated record.